GACGAACGCUGGCGGCGUGCCUAAUACAUGCAAGUCGAACGCUGAAGAGAGGAGCUUGCUCUUCUUGGAUGAGUUGCGAACGGGUGAGUAACGCGUAGGUAACCUGCCUUGUAGCGGGGGAUAACUAUUGGAAACGAUAGCUAAUACCGCAUAACAAUGGAUGACCCAUGUCAUUUAUUUGAAAGGGGCAAAUGCUCCACUACAAGAUGGACCUGCGUUGUAUUAGCUAGUAGGUGAGGUAACGGCUCACCUAGGCGACGAUACAUAGCCGACCUGCGAGGGUGGUCGGCCACACUGGGACUGAGACACGGCCCAGACUCCUACGGGAGGCAGCAGUAGGGAAUCUUCGGCAAUGGGGGCAACCCUGACCGAGCAACGCCGCGUGAGUGAAGAAGGGUUUCGGAUCGUAAAGCUCUGUUGUAAGUCAAGAACGAGUGUGGGAGUGGAAAGUUCACACUGUGACGGUAGCUUACCAGAAAGGGACGGCUAACUACGUG
This 497-nucleotide ribosomal RNA is filed under the name uncultured bacterium. RNAcentral's name for it is "partial 16S ribosomal RNA". It matches the Rfam family "Bacterial small subunit ribosomal RNA", at positions 28 to 507 of the family's 1533-position model. The record is from RNAcentral.